RNAcentral lists this ribosomal RNA (260 nucleotides) under uncultured archaeon. RNAcentral's name for it is "partial 16S ribosomal RNA". It matches the Rfam family "Archaeal small subunit ribosomal RNA", at positions 748 to 1004 of the family's 1478-position model. The record is from RNAcentral.
UAGGCGUAAAUAGAUGCGAGUUAAGUGUGGGGCGAUCUACGAGAUGGCCCUCGUGCUGUAGGGUAGCCGUUAAACUCGCUGCCUGGGGAGGUACGGUCGCAAGGCUGAAACUUAAAGGAAUUGGCGGGGGGAGCACCACAACGGGUGGAGCUUGCGGUUUAAUUGGAUUCAACGCCGGAAAUCUUACCGGGACCGACAGCAACAUGAAGGCCAGGCUGAAGACUUUGCCGGAUUAGCUGAGAGGAGGUGCAUGGCGUAGU